UAGCUCAGUGAUAGAGCACUUGCCUUGCAUGCAGGAUGCCCUGGGUUCAAUCACCAG
This 57-nucleotide transfer RNA is filed under the name Fukomys damarensis (Damara mole-rat). It matches the Rfam family "tRNA", at positions 8 to 63 of the family's 71-position model. Rfam says of the family: Transfer RNA (tRNA) molecules are approximately 80 nucleotides in length. Their secondary structure includes four short double-helical elements and three loops (D, anti-codon, and T loops). The record is from Rfam by way of RNAcentral. Lineage: Eukaryota; Metazoa; Chordata; Mammalia; Rodentia; Bathyergidae.